CCUUACCCCCGAUGGUGUGGGUUUGCUGUUUCUCCUUAUGUGAGCACACAAGACCUGUGCUCAUCUUAGGGGAUGCUGGAAAAAUAUGCCCCAUAGGGGCAGCGCCAGAUUACCCACCAAGCACAAUAAACAUGGUGUCCUACAGCUCAGAGUAACAUCAUAGGAUAGUAGAGAACAUCAGCUCUCCCACGUGCUGUGUUGAUCUAAGGUACUGCGGCGAUUCCCCUCCAGUCUGUUAGGACUACAGUAGCAGAGUGUCAGGAUGUGACAUCAUAUAUCUAAACUCUACAUCCCUAAGUAUAUCAUGUCAUAUCCUGGCACACAGCAGGGGGAGUUCACUGUUCAGGAGAUCCAAGUGAAAUGAGUUAAGGGUCAUAGAUGCAAAUAGUAAAUGUGAGGUUAGACAA
Long non-coding RNA from Spea bombifrons (plains spadefoot toad), 407 nucleotides. RefSeq lists it as uncharacterized. Lineage: Eukaryota; Metazoa; Chordata; Amphibia; Anura; Pelobatidae. The record is from RefSeq and is a predicted model, not a curated record. The transcript is spliced from 2 exons.